CGCCAUGGAACGCACAUGAUGUCCACAUCGGAGGUGCAGUCCUCACCAACGAGACUAACAUGGAUCGUGGGUCUUUGCAAAUGCAAAAACCUCAAUCUUUUCUCUCCAAUUACAGACAUUUCAAGUGGGAAUCACCUAACAUAAAAAAAACAAAUAUAAGCCUACGAAAGAGAAAAAACAAAAACCAAAAAACAAUCCGCAAAU
RNAcentral lists this long non-coding RNA (204 nucleotides) under Linum usitatissimum (flax). RNAcentral describes it as "long non-coding RNA (LUSI_LNC005573)". Lineage: Eukaryota; Viridiplantae; Streptophyta; Magnoliopsida; Malpighiales; Linaceae. The record is from RNAcentral.